RNAcentral lists this ribosomal RNA (498 nucleotides) under uncultured bacterium. Its description in RNAcentral is "bacterial SSU rRNA". It matches the Rfam family "Bacterial small subunit ribosomal RNA", at positions 30 to 518 of the family's 1533-position model. The record is from RNAcentral.
UUGAACGCUGGCGGCAGGCCUAACACAUGCAAGUCGAGCGGUAGCACAGAGAGCUUGCUCUCGGGUGACGAGCGGCGGACGGGUGAGUAAUGUCUGGGAAACUGCCUGAUGGAGGGGGAUAACUACUGGAAACGGUAGCUAAUACCGCAUAACGUCGCAAGACCAAAGUGGGGGACCUUCGGGCCUCAUGCCAUCAGAUGUGCCCAGAUGGGAUUAGCUAGUAGGUGGGGUAAUGGCUCACCUAGGCGACGAUCCCUAGCUGGUCUGAGAGGAUGACCAGCCACACUGGAACUGAGACACGGUCCAGACUCCUACGGGAGGCAGCAGUGGGGAAUAUUGCACAAUGGGCGCAAGCCUGAUGCAGCCAUGCCGCGUGUAUGAAGAAGGCCUUCGGGUUGUAAAGUACUUUCAGCGAGGAGGAAGGCAUUAAGGUUAAUAACCUUAGUGAUUGACGUUACUCGCAGAAGAAGCACCGGCUAACUCCGUGCCAGCCGCAGC